This 492-nucleotide ribosomal RNA is filed under the name uncultured bacterium. Its description in RNAcentral is "partial 16S ribosomal RNA". It matches the Rfam family "Bacterial small subunit ribosomal RNA", at positions 29 to 507 of the family's 1533-position model. The record is from RNAcentral.
AGUGAACGCUGGCGGUAGGCCUAACACAUGCAAGUCGAACGGCAGCACAGUAAGAGCUUGCUCUUACGGGUGGCGAGUGGCGGACGGGUGAGGCAUACAUCGGAAUCUACUUUUUCGUGGGGGAUAACGUAGGGAAACUUACGCUAAUACCGCAUAUGACCUACGGCUGAAAGCAGGGGAUCUUCGGACCUUUCGCGUCUGAAUUAGCUGAUGUCGCACUACCUAGGUGGGGGGGUAAAGUCCCACCAAGGCAAGGAAGCGGAGCCGAUCGGAGAGGAUGAUCGGCCACCACUGAACUGAGAAACGGUCCAGACCCCCAAGGGAGGCAGCCGGAGGGAAUUUUCGGCAAUGGGCGAAAGCCUGACCCAGCAACGCCGCGGGAGGGAUGAAGGUCUUCGGAUUGUAAAACUCUUUUAUUAGGGAAGAAAAGAUGUGUAAUUAACUCCGCACUUCUUGACGGUACCUAAUCAGAAAGCCACGGCUAAAUUCGUG